This is a long non-coding RNA of Motacilla alba alba, 479 nucleotides long. RefSeq lists it as uncharacterized. NCBI's taxonomy places the organism in Eukaryota, Metazoa, Chordata, Aves, Passeriformes, Motacillidae. The transcript has 4 exons. The record is from RefSeq and is a predicted model, not a curated record.
GGUAGAGUGACCACUUGGCAGUGCACAAGCAAGUCAGAAUGAGUGACCUGAAGGUAGAUGACUUCUGUCCUUUUUACUGCCCAGACCCUGAUGGAGGGACCAUGCCCAUCCCUACCACUGGGGAGAGAUUCUUCCACACCAGUUCAUAGCAGCUCCUGUCUGCACCAGUUUUUAUGGGAGUUGCACAACUUAUUCCAGCAAGAUUCAUGUGCCUUCUAUACUUUGUCUGAAAAAGUGAAGCCAGUCUAAAAUGUCAUUUCACACCACGUGUACUCUCUGGAUUCCCAUUCAUUCCCAGUUGAUGAUAAAAAAGUGCCUGUAAGCACACUGAAGAAACCAACACCAAAGUCAAAUAAUCAUCUGUUUAUUUGAAGCUUGGAGUCUGAGCUCUGUGAUAUGUUGUAUUUGGAGUGGUGGCAGGUAACAAGAGCAUCAGAAAUAAACCCAGGCUCUCCUGAGGAGGUGUUAAUGCAGCCACA